CAGUCGCCGCGGUAAUACGGAGGGUGCAAGCGUUAAUCGGAAUUACUGGGCGUAAAGCGCACGCAGGCGGUUUGUUAAGUCAGAUGUGAAAUCCCCGAGCUUAACUUGGGAACUGCAUUUGAAACUGGCAAGCUAGAGUCUUGUAGAGGGGGGGUAGAAUUCCAGGUGUAGCGGUGAAAUGCGUAGAGAUCUGGAGGAAUACCGGUGGCGAAGGCGGCCCCCUGGACAAAGACUGACGCUCAGGUGCGAAAGCGUGGGGAGCAAACAGGAUUAGAUACCCCGGUAGUCCCUGUCUCUUAUA
This 301-nucleotide ribosomal RNA is filed under the name uncultured bacterium. RNAcentral's name for it is "partial 16S ribosomal RNA". It matches the Rfam family "Bacterial small subunit ribosomal RNA", at positions 509 to 808 of the family's 1533-position model. The record is from RNAcentral.